ACGUGUAGCAGUGAAAUGCGUAGAGGUGUGGAGGAAUACCGAUGGCGAAGGCAGCCCCCUGGGAUAAUACUGACGUUCAUGCUCGAAAGCGUGGGUAGCAAACAGGAUUAGAUACCCUGGUAGUCCACGCCCUAAACGAUGUCGAUUAGCUGCUGGGCAGCUUGACUGCUUAGUAGCGUAGCUAACGCGUGAAAUCGACCGCCUGGGGAGUACGGUCGCAAGAUUAAAACUCAAAGGAAUUGACGGGGACCCGCACAAGCGGUGGAUGAUGUGGAUUAAUUCGAUGCAACGCGAAGAACCUUACCUGGUCUUGACAUGUACGGAACCUUCCAGAGACGGAAGGGUGCCUUCGGGAGCCGUAGCACAGGUGCUGCAUGGCUGUCGUCAGCUCGUGUCGUGAGAUGUUGGGUUAAGUCCCGCAACGAGCGCAACCCUUGUCAUUAGUUGCCAUCAUUUAGUUGGGCACUCUAAUGAGACUGCCGGUGACAAACCGGAGGAAGGUGGGGAUGACGUCAAGUCCUCAUGGCCCUUAUGACCAGGGCUUCACACGUCAUACAAUGGUCGGUACAAAGGGUAGCCA
This 580-nucleotide ribosomal RNA is filed under the name uncultured bacterium. RNAcentral describes it as "bacterial SSU rRNA". It matches the Rfam family "Bacterial small subunit ribosomal RNA", at positions 671 to 1252 of the family's 1533-position model. The record is from RNAcentral.